This 1251-nucleotide ribosomal RNA is filed under the name Triticum aestivum (bread wheat). Its description in RNAcentral is "partial small subunit ribosomal RNA". The record is from RNAcentral. Lineage: Eukaryota; Viridiplantae; Streptophyta; Magnoliopsida; Poales; Poaceae.
AUGGAUUGGCCGGGUACCGAACCACACAGCCCCGGCAACGCCUCCACGCCGCAUGCAGAAGUUCUCGAAGUGAAGAGCUCAUUAUGUGGCUCCAUCGUCAGAAGCAUGAACUCUGUGUCUCUCCCUCUCGCUUCGUGGUCUCAAAUCACUGAUGACAUAACUUGGAACAUCCUCGUGCUAGUUUCACCACAUCCUGUCACCAUUGCAAGGAUAGCAGCCGUGUGCAGGACGUGGCGCUCCAUUGUCAGGACUAGCAAGUUCCUGAGGAGGCUGAUGGAGCAUCACGAAGUAACACCACUCAUGGGUUUUUUCACCAACGUCCCUAGCUCAGAUCGUUUCCUCCCUUUUGAUCAGCAUCUAGGUGUUGUCGGUGUCCCUCGAUUCACCCUGCCCAUCUUGUAUCCAGACAACCGCCUCCCCACUCUCUCCACGAGCCACUGGGAGGUUCUUGCUUGCCGCCAUGGUAAGGUUUUGCUGCUUGGAGGGGCCGUACCUAUGCUCUUAGUGUGGGAUCCAAUCACUAGUCAUCAGACAUUAACACGCACCCACAGCGAACUGGCCUAUGUCCACGGCACAGUGGUAUGUGUCGCCCACCACCACCAUGGAAACUGUCACUCGUCGCCUUGGGUUGUUGUCUGGAUUGUGAGCACCGGCCGCGAAAUCAAGGUAAGAAGGUGGUCAUCGGUAACCCAAGCUUGUAAUAUCCCGCAAGCUCAAGUUUGGUUCGACGGCCUGGUUGAUUUCCGUCCAAGCACGUUGAUCGGUGAUGUUUUGUAUUGGCAUUUGACCAAUAACUUCCUCAUUGCCUUCGACAUGGCUGAGAAUCUGCUCCACCCUAUCGAGUUGCCCGAAGCAAUGCCAUCUCUUAAAUUCCGACGCCACGUCCACGUCGUGCCAUUAGACGAUGAUGUUCUUGGCUUGGCAGUUCUGAACACUUCAGUGCUCGAGAUUUGGUCCAGGGUUGGAGGCAUCAAUGAAGGAUCUUCCUGGGCCAUGAACUAUACCAUCCCUUUGCUUUCCAUCAUGCCCAUCCAAGAUGACCACAUCAUAAAUCAUCAUAGGCCACAAGGCCGAAUUGUGUGUGUCAUGGAGGACAGGAAAGUUAUCCUCAUUCGUGCUGCUGACGGGGUAUAUGAAGUGGAUUAUCAAAGGAAGACAUCCACCAAGAUCAUGGGAGAAACACCAAGGGGGACUAUGUUUGCAUAUGAGAGCUUCUACAUUGCAGGUGUCGCUGGUGUCGACGAGGCAUGA